Molecule: ribosomal RNA, 312 nt
Filed under: Klebsiella pneumoniae
Lineage: Bacteria; Pseudomonadati; Pseudomonadota; Gammaproteobacteria; Enterobacterales; Enterobacteriaceae
Description: partial 23S ribosomal RNA
Rfam family: Bacterial large subunit ribosomal RNA
Source: RNAcentral
UGGAUGACUUGUGGCUAGCGGUGAAAUUCCAAUCGAACCCGGAGAUAGCUAGUUCUCCCCGAUAUAUCUUUAAGGAUAGCGUUAUGUGAAUUGUUGUGGAGGUAGAGCACUGAAUCUAUGAUGGCUGCACCUAGCGGUACUGAUUAGAAUUAAACUCCGAAUGCCAUAACUUGUGCAUAGCAGUCAGAACAUGGGUGAUAAGGUCCAUGCUCGUGAGGGAAACAGCCCAGAUCGUCAGCUAAGGUCCCUAAGUGUAAACUAAGUGUGUAAGGAUGUGGAACUGCACAGACAGCUAGGAUGUUGGCUUAGAAG